This 1170-nucleotide ribosomal RNA is filed under the name Vibrio cholerae. RNAcentral's name for it is "partial 23S ribosomal RNA". It matches the Rfam family "Bacterial large subunit ribosomal RNA", at positions 717 to 1874 of the family's 2925-position model. Lineage: Bacteria; Pseudomonadati; Pseudomonadota; Gammaproteobacteria; Vibrionales; Vibrionaceae. The record is from RNAcentral.
GAAACCGGGUGAUCUAGCCAUGGGCAGGUUGAAGGUUGAGUAACAUCAACUGGAGGACCGAACCGACUAAUGUUGAAAAAUUAGCGGAUGACUUGUGGCUAGGGGUGAAAGGCCAAUCAAACUCGGAGAUAGCUGGUUCUCCCCGAAAGCUAUUUAGGUAGCGCCUCGGACGAAUACUACUGGGGGUAGAGCACUGUUAAGGCUAGGGGGUCAUCCCGACUUACCAACCCUUUGCAAACUCCGAAUACCAGUAAGUACUAUCCGGGAGACACACGGCGGGUGCUAACGUCCGUCGUGGAGAGGGAAACAACCCAGACCGCCAGCUAAGGUCCCAAAGUAUUGCUAAGUGGGAAACGAUGUGGGAAGGCUCAGACAGCUAGGAUGUUGGCUUAGAAGCAGCCAUCAUUUAAAGAAAGCGUAAUAGCUCACUAGUCGAGUCGGCCUGCGCGGAAGAUGUAACGGGGCUAAGCAAUACACCGAAGCUGCGGCAAUGUCUUUUAGACAUUGGGUAGGGGAGCGUUCUGUAAGCCGUUGAAGGUGAAUCGUAAGGUUUGCUGGAGGUAUCAGAAGUGCGAAUGCUGACAUGAGUAACGACAAAGGGGGUGAAAAACCUCCUCGCCGGAAGACCAAGGGUUCCUGUCCAACGUUAAUCGGGGCAGGGUGAGUCGACCCCUAAGGUGAGGCCGAAAGGCGUAAUCGAUGGGAAACGGGUUAAUAUUCCCGUACUUCUGACUAUUGCGAUGGGGGGACGGAGAAGGCUAGGUGGGCCAGGCGACGGUUGUCCUGGUUCAAGUGCGUAGGCUUGAGAGUUAGGUAAAUCCGGCUCUCUUUAAGGCUGAGACACGACGUCGAGCUACUACGGUAGUGAAGUCAUUGAUGCCAUGCUUCCAGGAAAAGCCUCUAAGCUUCAGAUAGUCAGGAAUCGUACCCCAAACCGACACAGGUGGUCGGGUAGAGAAUACCAAGGCGCUUGAGAGAACUCGGGUGAAGGAACUAGGCAAAAUGGUACCGUAACUUCGGGAGAAGGUACGCUCUUGAUGGUGAAGUCCCUCGCGGAUGGAGCUGACGAGAGUCGCAGAUACCAGGUGGCUGCAACUGUUUAUUAAAAACACAGCACUGUGCAAAAUCGCAAGAUGACGUAUACGGUGUGACGCCUGCCCGGUGCCGGAA